CUUAAAAAGGUCUUUCUUUCUUUCUUUCAAGAUGGCCGCCGACAGCUGAAGCCCUUCUAAGCUCCUCCAGCUCAGUGGGAUCAAAGCUUUUGAACAAAAAAUCAGCAUUCGAUGACAGGCCAAAAGGGGAUAUGGUUAUGUGUGACUGGAAAAGGAACAUCCUACAUGAAGAUGUGACAUGUUCUUUUGCAAGGGGAGCUUGUUUCCCCUGGGAAACAGGAUCAUCUGCUUCAGAUUGGAAGCCGGCCUCAGGUUUAACUAUGGAAUGGCUACUGCUUCUUAAUACACCAUGACACAACUUAAACAGGAUUUGCUGGUGCAUGCUUACAUGUGCAAAAAUAAGCCGUUUUGAAUUCGAUUGUGGGUUUAUCCUUGUUGAAGCAAAUAUAUCUGCAUGUAUAAAUAAAGAGGACAAGUGAACA
This is a long non-coding RNA of Alligator mississippiensis (American alligator), 422 nucleotides long. RefSeq lists it as uncharacterized. The transcript is spliced from 4 exons. NCBI's taxonomy places the organism in Eukaryota, Metazoa, Chordata, Crocodylia, Alligatoridae. The record is from RefSeq and is a predicted model, not a curated record.